This 591-nucleotide ribosomal RNA is filed under the name uncultured bacterium. RNAcentral's name for it is "bacterial SSU rRNA". It matches the Rfam family "Bacterial small subunit ribosomal RNA", at positions 1 to 641 of the family's 1533-position model. The record is from RNAcentral.
GCCCUUAGAGUUUGAUCCUGGCUCAGAACGAACGCUGGCGGCAGGCUUAACACAUGCAAGUCGAGCGCCCCGCAAGGGGAGCGGCAGACGGGUGAGUAACGCGUGGGAAUCUACCCAACCCUACGGAAUAACGCAUGGAAACGUGUGCUAAUACCGUAUACGCCCUACGGGGGAAAGAUUUAUCGGGGAUGGAUGAGCCCGCGUUGGAUUAGCUAGUUGGUGGGGUAAAGGCCUACCAAGGCGACGAUCCAUAGCUGGUCUGAGAGGAUGAUCAGCCACAUUGGGACUGAGACACGGCCCAAACUCCUACGGGAGGCAGCAGUGGGGAAUAUUGGACAAUGGGCGCAAGCCUGAUCCAGCCAUGCCGCGUGAGUGAUGAAGGCCCUAGGGUUGUAAAGCUCUUUCACCGAUGAAGAUAAUGACGGUAGUCGGAGAAGAAGCCCCGGCUAACUUCGUGCCAGCAGCCGCGGUAAUACGAAGGGGGCUAGCGUUGUUCGGAAUUACUGGGCGUAAAGCGCACGUAGGCGGAUAUUUAAGUCAGGGGUGAAAUCCCGCAGCUCAACUGCGGAACUGCCUUUGAUACUGGGUAUC